RNAcentral lists this ribosomal RNA (828 nucleotides) under uncultured Bacteroidota bacterium. Its description in RNAcentral is "bacterial SSU rRNA". It matches the Rfam family "Bacterial small subunit ribosomal RNA", at positions 56 to 881 of the family's 1533-position model. Lineage: Bacteria; Pseudomonadati; Bacteroidota. The record is from RNAcentral.
UGCAAGACGAACGGUAAGUUGAGUAGCAAUACUUGACCAAGAGUGUCGUAAGGGUGCGUAACACGUAUGCAAUCUGCCCUCAACAGGAGGAUAGCUCCCCGAAAGGGGAAUUAAUACUGCGUAAGAUUGUAGUUCGGCAUCGGACAGCAAUUAAAACCGAGGUGGUUGAGGAUGAGCAUGCGCAUGAUUAGUUAGUUGGCGGGGUAACGGCCCACCAAGACGAUGAUCAUUAGGGGAACUGAGAGGUUGAUCCCCCACACUGGCACUGAGAUACGGGCCAGACUCCUACGGGAGGCAGCAGUAGGGAAUAUUGGACAAUGGGUGCGAGCCUGAUCCAGCCAUGCCGCGUGCAGGAAGACGGCCUUCUGGGUUGUAAACUGCUUUUGCCAGGGGAUAAAAAGUCCCUGCGGGGAAAAUUGAAGGUACCUGGUGAAUAAGCCACGGCUAACUACGUGCCAGCAGCCGCGGUAAUACGUAGGUGGCAAGCGUUGUCCGGAUUUAUUGGGUUUAAAGGGUGCGUAGGUUGUGUUGUAAGUCAGUGGUGAAAUCCGGCAGCUUAACUGUCGAUGUGCCAUUGAUACUGCAGCACUUGAGUACAGACGAGGUAGGCGGAAUUGACGGUGUAGCGGUGAAAUGCUUAGAUAUCGUCAAGAACACCGAUAGCGAAGGCAGCUUACUAGACUGUAACUGACACUGAUGCACGAAAGUGUGGGGAUCAAACAGGAUUAGAUACCCUGGUAGUCCACACUGUAAACGAUGAUUUACUCGAUGUUGGCGAUACACGGCCAGCGUCUUAACCGAAAGCGAUAAGUAAUCCACCUGGGGGAG